CCUACGGGUGGCAGCAGUGAGGAAUAUUGGUCAAUGGACGCAAGUCUGAACCAGCCAUGCCGCGUGCAGGAAGACGGCUCUAUGAGUUGUAAACUGCUUUUGUACGAGGGUAAAUCCCGAGACGCGUACCGGGUUGAAAGUAUCGGACGAAUAAGCAUCGGCUAACUCCGUGCCAGCAGCCGCGGUAAUACGGAGGAUUCAAGCGUUAUCCGGAUUUAUUGGGUUUAAAGGGUGCGUAGGCGGUUCGAUAAGUCAGAGGUGAAAGCCCGGGGCUCAACUCCGGCACUGCCUUUGAUACUGUCGGGCUAGAGUUGAGGUGAGGUAGGCGGAAUGUAUGGUGUAGCGGUGAAAUGCGUAGAUAUUAGGAGGAACACCAGUGGCGAAGGCGGCUCACUGGACUGUAACUGACGUUGAGGCUCGAAAGCGUGGGGAGCAAACAGGAUUAGAUACCCUGGUAGUC
This 460-nucleotide ribosomal RNA is filed under the name uncultured bacterium. RNAcentral's name for it is "partial 16S ribosomal RNA". It matches the Rfam family "Bacterial small subunit ribosomal RNA", at positions 338 to 795 of the family's 1533-position model. The record is from RNAcentral.